GCUUCAUCCUGCCUGAGUUUUGGGUUAAGAUCCCACGGCAGAGGCUGAGUCUUUCUGGGAUUUGCACUGAAGUCAGUAUGAGUCAGUCAUCAGUUCUGAGCCAGAUCUGUACAUUUGACCCAUGAUUGCUCAAAACCAGCUGCCUCUGUUCACAGCUCAGGGCUCGGAGAAGCAGCAGGAGGGAGACACCGAUUUCACCAGCAGCUUUGGAGAACCCACGUUAACGAUACCCCAGCUGGUCGCGGCUCUGCUGACCUCCAUCUGUGCUCAUCUCAUCUUGCAGUCGGAGCUGGACUCAUCCGAUGCACAAACGUUCAGUCUUUUAGCCAGCUGUAAAUCAGCCCUGCCCUGCUGGCUUCACAGAGACUCCAAUUUCCACCAGCUGAGGGUCUGGCCCUAGAGAUGUAUUGUUCAGAAUGCUGGUUUGUGUCUUUCAUCUCCAAACCCUUCUUGCUGCUUUACUGGCAGGGGCUGCUGACAAUUUGUGUUUGAAGAAUUAUGAAGCGUCAACUUUUUGAAUCUCAGCAUCUGUUAUUCAAUCAUUAUUGGCUGAUCCCCCUCUAUUGUCUGACCCUGCCAGUGAUUUCCCACAACUGUCAAAAUGUAAAUCGACAAAAAUCAGAAAAAAUGCUUACAAAUAAAUAUUGAUAUUAACUGUCUAAAUUAUAAAAAGUACCAAGU
This is a long non-coding RNA of Mauremys reevesii (Reeves's turtle), 681 nucleotides long. RefSeq lists it as uncharacterized. The transcript is spliced from 3 exons. The record is from RefSeq and is a predicted model, not a curated record. Lineage: Eukaryota; Metazoa; Chordata; Testudines; Geoemydidae.